Molecule: long non-coding RNA, 1930 nt
Organism: Ictalurus punctatus (channel catfish)
Lineage: Eukaryota; Metazoa; Chordata; Actinopteri; Siluriformes; Ictaluridae
Source: Ensembl
UGUGAUACAGGGUUCUCACCGUUGUACAGGGGUCUCACCGUGAUACAGGGUUCUCCGAGUGUUACAGGGUUCUCACCGUGAUACAGGGUUCUCACCGUGUUACAGGGUUCUCCGAGUGUUACAGGGUUCUCACUGUGAUACAGGGUUCUCACGUGUGUUACAGGGUUCUCCGUGUUUAACAGGGUUCUCCGAGUGUUACAGGGUUCUCACUGUGAUACAGGGUUCUCCGAGUGUUACAGGGUUCUCACCGUGUUACAGGGUUCUCGGAGUGUUGCAGGGUUCUCGGAGUGUUACAGGGUUCUCACCGUGUUGCAGGGUUCUCCGUGUUUAACAGGGUUCUGCGAGUGUGUGUGAGUGUUAUCUGUGUCAUUUUGUGCGGUGUUGAUGUAUAAUCUGAGAUCUUUUUGUUUGUUGUUGGUUUGUAGGAUUUUACGGAGAUUAAACGCAGGUGCAGACAAACUUUCCCCCAAAUCCCCUCAGCGCUGCUGCUUUAGUCGAGAUCACAGCGGCGCUGCGACGCUUCUGAUCUCCGCUCAGGCGUAAACACUCGUCACACUUCAGCACCGCCACCAAGCCUUACACCUGCUGAUCGCCAGCGCUGUGCGCAGCGGUCAUGAGCACGCCCAGCCUCUCCUUCAUCGAACUGUCAUCGCGAGUCCUCCGCAGGAGCGUUUGUUCCUGAUCCCGCGACUCUGUGUAAGUUCCCGUACACGGAGACUCACUAACGUGACCCUCGGCUGAUGGUGUAACUGUCCGUGAGUUUCCGUGGCGUUCUAUACGGGUCACGCCGUCACGUUUAAAUCGCUCCUUCAUUUCAAUCACACAACGAGUCAAUAAUCAUCUCAUCACCGUCAGUUAAUCACCUGACAUUCCAAACGCGAUUCCAAACAAAUCCAUCCAUUUACAAAUAACAAACAACCCUAGCCCUUCCACUAGGACAAAGUAUUGGCACCGUGUACAAGGAGGAGGAGUCAGUGUGUGUACAAAAUGCUGUGUGUUUGUCCCUCUAGGGAAGAACCCUUAAAAACCCCUGCGACAGAUGUUCCAAAGUUUCCAAGUUAUGGACUCUUAUAUAUUAAUGUUUUAUAUUAAUUUCAGUUAAUUUGCACUUAUUUUCAGUCGUUGAUGUAAGAAUUAUAAUUGUUAAUUAAGUGCUGCUGGACGUUUGUGACUUGGAGAACGCAUCGCUGCUGAGGUUUACAGUUUGUUAUUGAUAACGAAUAACUGCUGAUAAACUAGUUCAUAAAAACCGGACGAUUCAAAUUCGCUCGUUAUCAGUUUGAUAAAAUUGAUCAAAAUCGUUGAAUAAAAAUAGUCGACGAUGAAGUAGCAAAUUUAUCCGAAUCGAUUAGCUUAUGAACAUUUUUUCGAAUGAACUCUACGUUGUUUAAUUUUCUUAACACACGCAAAUAUAUACGUUUAAUACACUGUAGGUUCCGCGUCACGUCAUCAAAUCAUACUGCUUUCAGUUUACGUCAAAGGUCCUGGUAGUCGAUCACAAAAAGAGUCUAUUACCUGAUUCACUGAUUCACUGACUCACUGAUUCACUGAUUCUGAGAGUUAAUCCCAAAGUUUUGGAGCAAAAUGAAUUUAGCAUCCGAAAGUUUUUCAGGUAGAGGGACAGCCUGUGCAUAUUGAAUUUGCAUGAGCCAAUCAGAGCUUGAAAUGCAGUUAAGCCCCUCCCCAAGGGAUUCACAACAUUUGUUUACAUUCAGCCAAAAAAAACAUGAGGCUGUUUUGAUCUGUGUUAGUUUUGGGAUUAUAAUCACCGUAUUUUAUUGUUCGUUGGGUAAUUAAUGGUUCUUAUCUCCCAAAAAGGGUUCUACUUAGAACCGUCACUGACAGGGAAGCACUCCGUUGUAGAACUUUUAAACUUUCCACCAGAGGAACUAACGAAGAACCCGUAACGCCGUGAAAUUUUCCGCAUUAU